This 582-nucleotide ribosomal RNA is filed under the name uncultured bacterium. Its description in RNAcentral is "bacterial SSU rRNA". It matches the Rfam family "Bacterial small subunit ribosomal RNA", at positions 102 to 694 of the family's 1533-position model. The record is from RNAcentral.
AAGGGAGAGGAAUAAGUAGAAAUCUACCCUCGGGACGGGGAUAGCGGCGGGAAACUGCCGGUAAUACCCGAUAACGUCUUUGGACCAAAGGUGUGAUUCCGCCUGAGGAUGAGUCUACUUCCUAUUAGCUAGUUGGCGGGGUAAUGGCCCACCAAGGCGACGAUGGGUAGCAGGUGUGAGAGCAUGACCUGCCUCAUUGGGACUGAGACACUGCCCAGACACCUACGGGUGGCUGCAGUCGAGAAUCUUCGGCAAUGGACGAAAGUCUGACCGAGCGACGCCGCGUGCGGGAUGAAGGCCUUCGGGUUGUAAACCGCUGUCGUAGGGGAACAAAUGUACGAGGGUUCUCCCUCGUAUUUGAGUGAUCCUAGGAGGAAGGAGAGGCUAAGCUCGUGCCAGCAGCCGCGGUAAGACGAGCUCUCCAAACGUUAUUCGGUAUCACUGGGCUUAAAGAGUUCGUAGGCGGUCUGGUAGGUGAGGUGUGAAAUCCCCCGGCUCAACCGGGGAACUGCGCUUCAAACCGCCGGACUUGAGGGAGACAGAGGUGGGCGGAACAGAUGGUGGAGCGGUGAAAUGCGUUGA